This 893-nucleotide long non-coding RNA is filed under the name Nicotiana benthamiana. RNAcentral describes it as "long non-coding RNA (NBEN_LNC041037)". Lineage: Eukaryota; Viridiplantae; Streptophyta; Magnoliopsida; Solanales; Solanaceae. The record is from RNAcentral.
UGCACCAUUUGGCAUUGUAUAAAAUUAAUCGGCUACAGCUUUAACUCUCUGCAACAAUUUCUAAACAUUUUGAAGAGUAACCACCACUGGAACUCCUCCAAACAUAUUCCUGGGAGUCAAUAGGUGGGACUUUCCAUCUUGCAAUACCUGAAGUGAGAGGACAUGAUGAAGUCCUCUGAGACGAUGUAGAAUCGGAUGAUUAUGUGUAUUGUUAACAACAGGAGAAAUACAUGUGCACUUACUUCAAGGUGUGAAUAAAAGUCCUAGAAUAUAAUCAAAGAUCCAUUCCUAUGAUAUCAUCAUUAAAACACAGUAUUCCUGAAAAAAUAUCAUCAAAACUUGGUAUCAUGAUGAAAUACAGUAACAUUUUUCUUUGUUUUCUUUGUUACCAUACAUUUUGAAGAGUAACCACCACUGGAACUCCUCCAAACAUAUUCCUGGGAGUCAAUAGGUGGGACUUUCCAUCUUGCAAUACCUGAAGUGAGAGAACAUGAUGAAGUCCUCUGAGACGAUGUAGAAUCGGAUGAUUAUGCGUAUUGUUAACAACAGGAGAAAUACAUGUGCACUUACUUCAAGGUGUGAAUAAAAGUCCCUAGAAUAUAAUCAAAGAUCCAUUCCUAUGAUAUCAUCACUAAAACACAGUAUUCCUGAUAAAUAUCAUCAAAACUUGGUAUCAUGAUGAAAUACAUGUUAUCGAUUGUCCGUGUUCAAAGCAACGAGAAACUGGAAACCAGUAAGAAGAAGAGACACAAAAAAAAAAAAAACACAGAAAUGAAGAAAUCCGAGUAAUAUCAAUUACGUACACUGCGAUCUUUUGGCUUGUGUUCUUCGGAAUAAAAACAUUACUGCUAUAAGUCAAGGAAUUUGGGAAAAAUCUAUAUUCCUCUUAUUUC